RNAcentral lists this ribosomal RNA (465 nucleotides) under Vreelandella stevensii. RNAcentral's name for it is "partial 16S ribosomal RNA". It matches the Rfam family "Bacterial small subunit ribosomal RNA", at positions 338 to 795 of the family's 1533-position model. The record is from RNAcentral. Lineage: Bacteria; Pseudomonadati; Pseudomonadota; Gammaproteobacteria; Oceanospirillales; Halomonadaceae.
CCUACGGGGAGCAGCAGUGGGGAAUAUUGGACAAUGGGCGAAAGCCUGAUCCAGCCAUGCCGCGUGUGUGAAGAAGACCUUCGGGUUGUAAAGCACUUUCAGUGGGGAAGAAAGCCUUGGGGCUAAUACCCUCGAGGAAGGACAUCACCCACAGAAGAAGCACCGGCUAACUCCGUGCCAGCAGCCGCGGUAAUACGGAGGGUGCGAGCGUUAAUCGGAAUUACUGGGCGUAAAGCGCGCGUAGGCGGUCUGAUAAGCCGGUUGUGAAAGCCCCGGGCUCAACCUGGGAACGGCAUCCGGAACUGUCAGGCUAGAGUGCAGGAGAGGAAGGUAGAAUUCCCGGUGUAGCGGUGAAAUGCGUAGAGAUCGGGAGGAAUACCAGUGGCGAAGGCGGCCUUCUGGACUGACACUGACGCUGAGGUGCGAAAGCGUGGGUAGCAAACAGGAUUAGAUACCCCUGUAGUC